Molecule: long non-coding RNA, 116 nt
Organism: Pollicipes pollicipes
Lineage: Eukaryota; Metazoa; Arthropoda; Thecostraca; Pollicipedomorpha; Pollicipedidae
Exons: 3
Source: RefSeq, a predicted model, not a curated record
UCGGUUAGGUAUCAGCUGGCUUCUCGUCGAGAGCGUUUUGACGUCAUUGAAUCAUGUCAAGUAAGAAAGAAGAAGCCUUGGCACACAUAAAGGAAGCUGAAAAAUACCUGAAAACA